AAGUCCCAUGUUUUUCACUUCACAUGUCUCAUAUUUAUAUAACAUAUAUCUGAUAUUUAUCUUGUUCAUCGAGGGGAGGAAACAGUCCUUCAUCGUUGUUUCUUCUCCUCUGUAGCCUCUUAAAUGAAAAGCUGGGGGGAAGUAAUCAGGAGGACUUGGAUGGAAUUGUCUGUCAUCCAUUCAACGCUCUGGACACAGGCGCUGAUUAUAAAAUGAAAGGAUCAAUAGUUUCGGACCUGCUGAUGCUGGAUGAAGCUGCCUGGAACAUUUGAAAUUCAAAGCUGGCCGUCGCUUCCAGACACAAAUACGCCACAGCAAGAGUAAGCCGCCCGGAAGCUGUCUGAUGAAAUUAUGAAAAGAAUAUUCAUAGGAGAAAAUGUGUCUACGAUUGUCACCCUGACUAACAAAGAAUAAACGAAACCAAAAACAUGUGAAUAAAAUAUCAGUUGAAGACGCAAACGGACAGAAAGAACAAGAAGCGAGAUGGUAAGGCGACGGCCGUUGUGGGGGAGCUAAUUACUUCUGUGGCUGAUGAUUUCCCAUCAUGGCCGCCUGAGGCCCACCGAGGACAGAAUUGACAACGAUGCGUCAUGUGGCACAUGGCUGAGCUGGUCGCCCUGAGAGCGAGCAGGGAGAGGACCUCUCCAAUGGAAGCCUGUCCCUCAAUUGCAUUGCCAGUGAAGCCGGGACACGGACACGCGUGUGAAUAUCCACCUAUCACACCACAAAAAUGUCUCUUUAAUCUUUAAUUCGCAGCAGGUUUGAAACCACCUGCACAAUGAGCAGCACGUGUCCCGUCCUUUAUGACGAGAGAGAAACCAUCGGGAGACACAUCCUGUCAUUUAAGA
Long non-coding RNA from Gasterosteus aculeatus aculeatus (three-spined stickleback), 848 nucleotides. NCBI's taxonomy places the organism in Eukaryota, Metazoa, Chordata, Actinopteri, Perciformes, Gasterosteidae. The record is from Ensembl.